CCUACGGGAGGCAGCAGUGAGGAAUAUUGGUCAAUGGGCGGGAGCCUGAACCAGCCAAGUCGCGUGAGGGAAGACGGUCCUAUGGAUUGUAAACCUCUUUAGGCGGGGAGCAAUGCCGGGCACGUGUGCCCGGAGGGAGAGUACCCGCAGAAUAAGCAUCGGCUAACUCCGUGCCAGCAGCCGCGGUAAUACGGAGGAUGCGAGUGUUAUCCGGAUUGAUUGGGUUUAAAGGGUGCGUAGGCGGAUUUGUAAGUCAGCGGUAAAAUGUCCGGGCUGAACCCGGGCCGGCCGUUGAAACUGGGGAUCUUGAGUGGGCGAGAAGUAUGCGGAAUGCGUGGUGUAACGGUGAAAUGCAUAGAUAUCACGCAGAACUCCGAUUGCGAAGGCAGCAUACCGGCGCCCGACUGACGCUGAGGCACGAAAGCGUGGGGAUCGAACAGGAUUAGAUACCCUUGUAGUC
Molecule: ribosomal RNA, 460 nt
Filed under: uncultured bacterium
Lineage: Bacteria
Description: partial 16S ribosomal RNA
Rfam family: Bacterial small subunit ribosomal RNA
Source: RNAcentral